This is a long non-coding RNA of Limulus polyphemus (Atlantic horseshoe crab), 395 nucleotides long. RefSeq lists it as uncharacterized. NCBI's taxonomy places the organism in Eukaryota, Metazoa, Arthropoda, Merostomata, Xiphosura, Limulidae. The record is from RefSeq and is a predicted model, not a curated record. The transcript is spliced from 3 exons.
UUAAUUACUGAAAUGUGUAGUUUCGCAAAUUACAAUCUCCUCCAGUAUCAAUACUACUGAGGCCAGCAAAGAUGGCGCUUUAACCGAUGGAAGUUGUACAAAAUGUCCACCAUUGAAAUGGAUCCACUAUUUGUGAAAGCUCUAAGAUUAUUACAUUCAAAAGCCAAAGACUCUGCAGAUCAACUUAAGCAGUUACUAGAUGAUGCUCUUCUACAAAAACCAUCAUCUGUUACCACUUCAAAAGACAUUAAACAGCCAUUUCGACAGGAAGAAAGUUUAAAAGCUCCUGUUGGAAGGAAGAUAUCUCCUAAACAUGCCACCGAGACAGCUAGCCAGAAGGUGCCCAUUACUGAAGAAUCCAGGAAGAGGGAGGGUGAGAAAAGAACCUUUGAGAA